Malus domestica (apple) is the source of this 2058-nucleotide RNA transcript. It is a transcript of the gene named putative disease resistance RPP13-like protein 1, with no coding region annotated. The record is from RefSeq and is a predicted model, not a curated record. NCBI's taxonomy places the organism in Eukaryota, Viridiplantae, Streptophyta, Magnoliopsida, Rosales, Rosaceae.
UCUUUAACACCAAUUGACAUCUCUUGAUUAUUUGCGGAUAGAGAAUAGUUGUGAUUCACUGAAGUCCUUCCCGUUGGGCAUUCUUCCAAAUCUUUCUCAUCUUGUAAUCCACACCUGUGAGAAUCUGGAAUCUCUUUCCAUUGAAGGAGUAGAUGAAAAUCUCAGCCAUCUCAACAAAUUGCAGAUCCGGAGCUGUCAAAAUUUGCUCUCUUUUCCCCGCAGUGGAUUGCCUACUCCCAACUUGACUGACUUGAGAGUCUUGCAAUGCAAGAAUUUGGAGUCAAUGCCUAAAAAAAUUCACACACUGAUUGCCCUUCGCCAAUUGGAGUUAUCCGAUCUUCCAAAGCUCGUGUCAUUUGCACGAGAAGGUUUGCCUCCCAACCUACAGCUCUUCACAGUCUCCACAUCUUUGGACUAUCAAGUCUGAAAGUUGUUAAUGGGAGGGGACUUCAACACCUCACUUCUCUUCGACGGCUAAAAAUAAAUCAGUCUCCAAGUCUUGAGUUCCUGCCAGAAGAGGGUUUCCCAGCAUCACUUUCUUGCCUAAGCAUUCACAGAUGUUCUUCCCUCACAAAAAGGUGUCAGAAUAAGACUGGAGAAGAUUGGGCCAAGAUAUCUCUCAUUCCUUUAAUAAAGAUAGAUGACGAAGUGCAUAUCAUAUGAUCUCUACUUCACAUAAAGUUUUAGCUUUUAUUUCACUCUCGAAUCCACAUCAGCGGCAUCAUGUAGAGCAGAGAUGUGAAAAGAAAACACUUCCAGUUGACAUUUACAGUGAAUAAAUAUGAAGGGAAACAUGCUCUUUGCAAUUUGAUGUGAAAUCCAAGUUUAAGGAAAAGCAUCAAGGUCUUUGCCUCUAACUUCGGAAGGACUCUGAAUGCAUUAAGCAAUUGGGAGACAGUAACCCCGUUGAAGAUUCAAACAUUAAAGAAACUGAUAGGAAACUGGACUGCGAAGUGCAAUGGUUUGCCUUUAAUUGCACGAGCACUAGGGGGUCUCUUACGGGGCACAAUUUCUGGCUUUGAGGAAUGGCAUCACAUAUUAAAUAGCAAUACUUGGGAGCUACCCUCAAUUGCUCGCAUACUCCCAAUUUGUUUACUACAACAAUUAAGGCAGAAGCGCAGAGAAUCACAUUAAGUACGCCACUCUGCUAGGACAGAGGGAUACUCAGCAGAGUGGCUCUUUCUAGUCAGUAGCCUUCGCAUGGAAUUUUGUCAGCCGCUUGUGUUCAGGUUUCUCCUCAAGUAGGCAUCGGUAUGCGUUGUUCGAUGUGCUCUUGGCUAUUGCAGCUCUACUCGCAUAUGGGAGCUGAUUUACAAACGUAGGUAAAACUGUUGCGUAGAGGAAGAGGGGGUGUUACAUGCUUUUUGGUUCCGUCAUUGAAAUUUAUGGGUUAGUCGGAGCCUUCGCUCAAUGUGUUUGCUCGAUAAUUCAAUACGUAUACUACAUUCGGCGUGCUGAUACUACUAUCAAACUGUCCUUUACCAGGAAAUGAGACAGGAAGCAAAAGAAAUCCUGGUUUAUUUUUUAUUUUUUUACCGAAUAUGGGCAAGAAAAGAGGUCAGGGGAAAGCCCAGAGGAGGAUAAUUGUUUGCCAAACUGAAGUUUGGGUCAUGUUUUGCAGAAAGACACAAUCUUUGAGAGACCCAAAGGAGGGGAAGAGACAGAGAUCGAAAUCAUGGGUUGCUUUCUUGCAUGUUUUGGUUCUUCCAAAAACAAAAAAAACGCAGGAGUAAUAGGAUGUACUCUGUGAGUAUGUUCUUGCAUCUUUGAGAGACCCAGAGGAGGGAAAGAUAGAGAUCGAAAUCAUGGGAAGGAAUACGAUAUCCUCCUUUCUGUUUUAUCAUUUUUUAGAUUUAUUUAAAAAGUAAAAAUGAUAUUAAAUUCCACCUGUGUAAAAAUAAUGACCCAUCGCGUUUCUCAGAACAACACGUUUCUUUAAUAAAAGUAGAGUCCAACAAUAUAUAUAGAUUUCAUCUCUAUUAAAAAGAUGAUACAAAUAUUUAGUUAUUUUUUAAAAGGAGGUGGAAUGAAUACACUGAAUAGGACAUGAAACUUUUU